GACGAACGCUGGCGGCGUGCUUAACACAUGCAAGUCGAACGGAAAGGCCCUGCUUUUGUGGGGUGCUCGAGUGGCGAACGGGUGAGUAACACGUGAGUAACCUGCCCUUGACUUUGGGAUAACUUCAGGAAACUGGGGCUAAUACCGGAUAUGAGCUCCUGCUGCAUGGUGGGGGUUGGAAAGUUUCGGCGGUUGGGGGUGGACUCGCGGCUUAUCAGCUUGUUGGUGGGGUAGUGGCUUACCAAGGCUUUGACGGGUAGCCGGCCUGAGAGGGUGACCGGCCACAUUGGGACUGAGAUACGGCCCAGACUCCUACGGGAGGCAGCAGUGGGGAAUAUUGCACAAUGGGCGGAAGCCUGAUGCAGAAACGCUGCGUGCGGGAUGACGGCCUUCGGGUUGUAAACCGCUUUCGCCUGUGACGAAGCGUGAGUGACGGUAAUGGGUAAAGAAGCACCGGCUAACUACGUG
RNAcentral lists this ribosomal RNA (468 nucleotides) under uncultured bacterium. RNAcentral describes it as "partial 16S ribosomal RNA". It matches the Rfam family "Bacterial small subunit ribosomal RNA", at positions 28 to 507 of the family's 1533-position model. The record is from RNAcentral.